RNAcentral lists this ribosomal RNA (400 nucleotides) under phytoplankton environmental sample. RNAcentral describes it as "partial small subunit ribosomal RNA". It matches the Rfam family "Eukaryotic small subunit ribosomal RNA", at positions 587 to 995 of the family's 1831-position model. The record is from RNAcentral.
AGCUCUGUAAGCGUAUACCAAAGUUGUUGCAGUUAAAACGCUCGUAGUCGAAUUUUGGCGGGCGACGCAGGACGUCCGCGAGGACGAUUUUGCGUUGGCCGCCUUUGUGGAUGGUGGAUUAGUGGUUCUUCAUUGAAUUGUUGAUUCGCCGCCACCGUUUACUGUGAAAAAAUUAGAGUGUUCAAAGCGGGCGCAUUGCCAUGAAUACAUUAGCAUGGAAUAAUAGAAUAGGACCUGGUCUUAUUUUGUUGGUUUGUUAAAAUCAGGUAAUGAUUAAAAGGGACGGUCGGGGGCACUUGUAUUCCGGGGUUAGAGGUGAAAUUCUUAGAUCCUCGGAAGACAAACAGCUGCGAAAGCGUUUGCCAAGGACGUUUUCAUUGAUCAAGAACGAAAGUACGCA